UGUCAUCAGAUAGAAUCAAUAAAUAGCUUUACAUCCAGUAUAUUAGAUUACUAAAUCCAUACUAUUACUUUUUUGCUCUUUGAGAAGAUACAUAAAAUUUUUCUUUCUUUUUUUUGUUUCUCUUCUUUCAAGCCUUUUUCAAGUUUUCUUUUUCAUCUUGGCAUUUAAAGAAGUUUGUCGGAUCAAACCUUCCAGCGAGGAGGAUCAGGCUGAGCCGCAUUGUUGUAUCUUUGGAACGAGAUCAUUAUAUACAUGCACGUAGAGAGCAAAUCACGUUCUUAGGACAGUAUAUAUCACACACCUCGAUUCAGACAAGCUCUUUUCAAUCUUCUGAUCUAUUCUAAUAAAUCAUUUCUUUAUAAUACUUUUAUAAAAUAAAGAUAUAGCAGUUUUAGAUAAAUUAUUUU
RNAcentral lists this long non-coding RNA (407 nucleotides) under Phoenix dactylifera (date palm). RNAcentral's name for it is "long non-coding RNA (PDAC_LNC016203)". The record is from RNAcentral. Lineage: Eukaryota; Viridiplantae; Streptophyta; Magnoliopsida; Arecales; Arecaceae.